This 415-nucleotide ribosomal RNA is filed under the name uncultured bacterium. RNAcentral describes it as "bacterial SSU rRNA". It matches the Rfam family "Bacterial small subunit ribosomal RNA", at positions 355 to 787 of the family's 1533-position model. The record is from RNAcentral.
UGGGGAAUAUUGCACAAUGGGGAAGACCCUGAUGCAGCGACGCCGCGUGAGCGAAGAAGUAUUUCGGUAUGUAAAGCUCUAUCAGCAGGGAAGAAAAUGACGGUACCUGACUAAGAAGCCCCGGCUAACUACGUGCCAGCAGCCCGCGGUAAUACGUAGGGGCGAAGCGUUAUCCGGAUUUACUGGGUGUAAAGGGAGCGCAGGCGGUCUUGCAAGUCUGAUGUGAAAGCCCGCGGCUCAACUGCGGGACUGCAUUGGAAACUGUGGGACUUGAGUGUCGGAGGGGCAAGUGGAAUUCCUAGUGUAGGGUGAAAUGCGUAGAUAUUAGGAGGAACACCAGUGGCGAAGGCGGCUUGCUGGACGACAACUGACGCUGAGGCUCGAAAGCGUGGGGAGCAAACAGGAUUAGAUACCC